RNAcentral lists this ribosomal RNA (253 nucleotides) under uncultured bacterium. RNAcentral's name for it is "partial 16S ribosomal RNA". It matches the Rfam family "Bacterial small subunit ribosomal RNA", at positions 524 to 776 of the family's 1533-position model. The record is from RNAcentral.
UACGGGGGGGGCAAGCGUUGUUCGGAAUUACUGGGCGUAAAGCGCACGUAGGCGGACUCUUAAGUCAGGGGUGAAAUCCCGGGGCUCAACCUCGGAACUGCCUUUGAUACUGUGAGUCUCGAGACCGGAAGAGGUGAGUGGAAUUCCUAGUGUAGAGGUGAAAUUCGUAGAUAUUAGGAAGAACACCAGUGGCGAAGGCGGCUCACUGGUCCGGUUCUGACGCUGAGGUGCGAAAGCGUGGGGAGCAAACAGG